Small nuclear RNA from Melanotaenia boesemani (Boeseman's rainbowfish), 118 nucleotides. RefSeq annotates it as U5 spliceosomal RNA. Lineage: Eukaryota; Metazoa; Chordata; Actinopteri; Atheriniformes; Melanotaeniidae. The record is from RefSeq and is a predicted model, not a curated record. The transcript has a single exon.
UUGCUCCGCUUUCUCUUCAUAACGCAUAAGUCUUUCGCCUUUUACUAAAGACUUCCGUGGAGAGUGUGGCUAAUGAGUCAAUCCUAUUUUUGGCAGGCUUUGCCUCUGGCUCAAGCCU